GUUUACAACACUGUCAUACUAAUCUGCCCCAAGUGGAUCCACCUUCUAGCUGCCCAAGCUCUCCAAUGGCAUGACGUCAGGGACGGUGGAAUCAACCAUAGCAGUAGCCGAGGAUGCACUUUGAGUCUCUACCGGGGAGCAUGGACUUAUGCACGUCCAAAUCCGUGCGGUAGCAUUUCGUCGAACACAUGGCAGGCGCUGGUGUGGUCAGCUCGGGAACGGCGGCCGCAAGGUCACGAAGCCUCCAAAGACACUAAAUCUGGUGAGCGCCGUGGCCGCCAGGACGACCUCUGCGUGUAGAACACCAGCAGCCACAGCGCGGCCAGCCAAGAUGAUUGAUUGCAGGUCGUGUGGCCGCCAUGUGCAGCAGGCCACAGUUCUGCACGGUCCCCGGGGUGGGUUCCAAGGGGGGGGUGGUGGUGGUGACCGCGUUAACACGAAGAGUGGCAGCAGCAACGCCAUGGUUCGCGCCCUUGUGCGCCACAGUCGCCUGCGCACAAGAGAUGCAUGCAACUGCCUGCUCUGUGGCCGCCAUUUGCCGCGCCCCAGGACAUCCUGAAGGCGCGCGAUCUCAGCCAAUGUAGCAUCCAUUGCUGUUCAUCGAAGAAAACCUGAGAAGUUGCAGCGCGAACCAAAUUGACGGGGAAACAUAUUGGGGGGAAAUUUUGGUUCAAUUUUUUUUUCGCGGGAUUCUCUGGCUCUGAAACCAAAUUGUAAUAUGCCGUGGCCACGGCGAUCGCCGGACGUGAGGUAGAUAGGUGCUAGGUCUGCCUUUUGGAUUUGCAGAGGAACCAAAAGGGGAAGGACGAGCAAGACGGGAAGUGGAACACGGGAGCAACCCCGGUUCGGUUCAUCAGCUCUGUUCGUUCGAUGAACGGCCACUAAUCCAAGCCCAGCAGGCCCAAGGCCCAUGUCCACCAACUGCGGCCUGAGGAGUGAGGACUGAGGAGGGCGAGGCGGUGGAGGAUUCCGGCGCGGGACGGGAAGAGGACUGGACGAGCUCCAGAUCUGGGGAUGGAGAAUCGAAUGCGAUUGCGAAUGGGGCUCCGAACUCCGGCUGGGAUUCGAGGCUUUCUGGGACCAACUCGACGGAGGGUGGCACAGCAAGGGAGGCGACGCUCCCCAACCGAUCGAGGGGGCGACGGACGGAGGCGGCGCGGCGCGGUGGGUGUUCCCUCCUGCGAGAUCAGAGUCUUGUUCCCUCUUGGCUGUCGACGAAGGCGACGGCGGUCCCGCCACGAUCUGGUGGCGGCGGGGACGGUAUAAAUCCGACGAAACAACGUGGCGCAGGGUAACAAGGUGAUCGGGGUUUAUGACAAAUUCUGAAGACUUAGCGCCCGCCUUUUAGAAAGAAAAAAAGUAAAAGGAAAUCAGCACGGGUGUAUCAUAUCACCUUGGAGAUGGUUCCUUUUUAGAUCAAGCAUCAUGAGGCUUGAGCAGCCUGCCAGGGCCUCAGGGAUGCUUCCGUGGAGAGAGUUCACGCUCAAGUUGAGCUCCUGGAGCCUGGUGAGGCGGCCAAGCUCCGGUGGUAUCAGACCAGCGAGGUGGUUGUCGCCGAGGUCCAGCUCCCGGAGAAAGGAUAGGUUUCCCAGGAAUGGCGAGACAGGUCCCAACAGGUUGGCAGAAUGGAAGCGCAGCGCGACCACCCUCUCCGGGUGCUUCUCACCGCAAAGGAUACCUGGCCAGCGGCAGUAGCGGCCGGACCCGUUCCAUGAGGCCAGCAGCGAGGCUCCUGAUGACAGCGUGGACUUGAAGGAGAGGAGAGCGAGCUCGUCGUCAGUGGUCGUGUUCGCGUUGGCUCCUCUGGCUGGAGAGGAGGGCGGUUGAGCAUGGGAGUCGGAGAGGAGCGUGCAGUGGCACAGCAGCAAGGGGAAGACCAAGACGAACAAUGCUGGUGCUCCGGUCAUACUGGGGGCUGCUGUUGCUUCACCCAGGAAGGAGAACAGGUAUAAAUAGAUGAUAGAUGCUGACAAAUAUGUUAUAUUGUGCUUGUAUGAAAGUUUUUCCACUCGUGAUCAUGAGUACAUAACAAACAGUCCACACAAUGUUAUAUAGUA
Molecule: long non-coding RNA, 2057 nt
Organism: Brachypodium distachyon (stiff brome)
Lineage: Eukaryota; Viridiplantae; Streptophyta; Magnoliopsida; Poales; Poaceae
Exons: 2
Source: RefSeq, a predicted model, not a curated record